This 468-nucleotide ribosomal RNA is filed under the name uncultured bacterium. RNAcentral's name for it is "partial 16S ribosomal RNA". It matches the Rfam family "Bacterial small subunit ribosomal RNA", at positions 28 to 507 of the family's 1533-position model. The record is from RNAcentral.
GACGAACGCUGGCGGCGUGCUUAACACAUGCAAGUCGAACGGAAAGGCCCUGCUUUUGUGGGGUGCUCGAGUGGCGAACGGGUGAGUAACACGUGAGUAACCUGCCCUUGACUUUGGGAUAACUUCAGGAAACUGGGGCUAAUACCGGAUAGGAGCUCCUGCUGCAUGGUGGGGGUUGGAAAGUUUCGGCGGUUGGGGAUGGACUCGCGGCUUAUCAGCUUGUUGGUGGGGUAGUGGCUUACCAAGGCUUUGACGGGUAGCCGGCCUGAGAGGGUGACCGGCCAAAUUGGGACUGAGGUACGGCCCAAACUCCUACGGGAGGCAGAAGGGGGGAAUAUUGCACAAUGGGCGGAAGCCUGAUGCAGCAACGCCGCGUGCGGGAUGACGGCCUUCGGGUUGUAAACCGCUUUCGCCUGUGACGAAGCGUGAGUGACGGUAAUGGGUAAAGAAGCACCGGCUAACUACGUG